GAUGAACGCUAGCGAUAGGCUUAACACAUGCAAGUCGAGGGGCAGCACAAGGUAGCUUGCUAUCUGGGUGGCGACCGGCGCACGGGUGCGUAACGCGUAUGCAACUUGCCCUAUACAGGAGGAUAACCCGUCGAAAGACGGACUAAUACUGCGUAUGCUCACAACUUGGCAUCAAGUGGUGAGGAAAGAAAUUCGGUAUAGGAUAGGCAUGCGUCCCAUUAGCUUGUUGGUGAGGUAACGGCUCACCAAGGCAGCGAUGGGUAGGGGAACUGAGAGGUUUAUCCCCCACACUGGUACUGAGACACGGACCAGACUCCUACGGGAGGCAGCAGUGAGGAAUAUUGGUCAGUGGGCGCGAGCCUGAACCAGCCAAGUCGCGUGAAGGAUGACUGUCUUAUGGAUUGUAAACUUCUUUUAUACGGGAAUAACAAGAGUCACGUGUGACUCCCUGCAUGUACCGUAUGAAUAAGCAUCGGCUAACUCCGUG
Molecule: ribosomal RNA, 487 nt
Filed under: uncultured bacterium
Lineage: Bacteria
Description: partial 16S ribosomal RNA
Rfam family: Bacterial small subunit ribosomal RNA
Source: RNAcentral